RNAcentral lists this long non-coding RNA (1068 nucleotides) under Callithrix jacchus (white-tufted-ear marmoset). RNAcentral describes it as "lncRNA (ENSCJAG00000073790.1)". Lineage: Eukaryota; Metazoa; Chordata; Mammalia; Primates; Cebidae. The record is from RNAcentral.
GUAGAGUCAACUUCUGAACGAUGACUGGUGGAUUGACCAUCAAACGUCCCGGCACUAACUGGUCACCAUUGUCCUAGAGCCAAGGCAAUCAAAACACAGCAUUGAUUCCUUCCUUCAGUCACCAAGCAUCUACCAGAGCUUACCAUGUCCUACUCACUUGCUAAAUGCUGGGGAUACGAUGAUAGCAGGUGCAGUCGUGGCCUCUGCCUGGAGAAGCCAGUGGUCCUUUGGGAGACAAACAGUAAUUGCUAACCUAUCACUCAGUCUGUGGAGUGGAGUCUAGGAGAGAAUUGUCCCCAACCCCAAACGCACGGCUUGCCCCCAGGCUUUCCAGGCAGAACUCAAGGCGGGGUUUACACUCUAGUUCCCAGCUCACAGGUUUAGGCGAGAGCAUCAUGAAAACCAUGCGGUGGCACAGGGGUAAGAGGGAGAGAAAGAGGAAGAAGAGGAGGAGGAGGAAGAAGGAGGAGGAGGAAGAGAAGGUGGAGAAGAAGAGGAGGACCUUCCCGUUGAAAUGUGGAUGUAUAGACCUUGCUUUGCCAGAACAGACAAGAAAAUAGUGCAAGGCCUGUCAGAGAUGACUUCACUGCCUUGUGGACAAAGGAAAUCAUGCAACAUGGAUUCAUCUCAAAAAGCCUUGGAGAAUUCUGGAAUCCUUUAACAGAAUGGAAACCUCGACCAGCAAAGUGAGCUAAUAAUGGAAGCACCGAGUCUAUGACUCACAAAUGAUUUUAAACCCAUGAUUUUCAGCUCGUUGGCCUCGAAAUCAAAUACUGAGACCAAAUGUCAGAGACCAUUUCACAAUUCUGACUUCUCAUUCAAGAUCAAUAGCAGCGGUCUUCUCAUUGCAAGCAGGAUAGGCACCUAGUCCUGGCUGCUUAGAGAUGGAGCUGGAGAGGGGCAGAGGCUUUUGCUUGGCUUUGUUUCAUUGUUGCUGUUGUUCUGUGUGUGUUUUAAAAGAAGCUUAUUCCAAUUAAGCAAGCACAUAAGUGGAUUCUAGAAAGACCACAGCACAGUCUAUCUCUUUAUGCCCUACCUACUUUUACUGAACUCAUACACCACCCACAG